AGAAAAUCUUGUGUGGAUUGAU
This 22-nucleotide microRNA is filed under the name Ornithorhynchus anatinus (platypus). RNAcentral's name for it is "oan-miR-1422b-3p". Lineage: Eukaryota; Metazoa; Chordata; Mammalia; Monotremata; Ornithorhynchidae. The record is from miRBase by way of RNAcentral.